RNAcentral lists this ribosomal RNA (1311 nucleotides) under Bacillus safensis. RNAcentral's name for it is "bacterial SSU rRNA". It matches the Rfam family "Bacterial small subunit ribosomal RNA", at positions 78 to 1375 of the family's 1533-position model. Lineage: Bacteria; Bacillati; Bacillota; Bacilli; Caryophanales; Bacillaceae. The record is from RNAcentral.
GCUUGCUCCCGGAUGUUAGCGGCGGACGGGUGAGUAACACGUGGGUAACCUGCCUGUAAGACUGGGAUAACUCCGGGAAACCGGAGCUAAUACCGGAUAGUUCCUUGAACCGCAUGGUUCAAGGAUGAAAGACGGUUUCGGCUGUCACUUACAGAUGGACCCGCGGCGCAUUAGCUAGUUGGUGGGGUAAUGGCUCACCAAGGCGACGAUGCGUAGCCGACCUGAGAGGGUGAUCGGCCACACUGGGACUGAGACACGGCCCAGACUCCUACGGGAGGCAGCAGUAGGGAAUCUUCCGCAAUGGACGAAAGUCUGACGGAGCAACGCCGCGUGAGUGAUGAAGGUUUUCGGAUCGUAAAGCUCUGUUGUUAGGGAAGAACAAGUGCGAGAGUAACUGCUCGCACCUUGACGGUACCUAACCAGAAAGCCACGGCUAACUACGUGCCAGCAGCCGCGGUAAUACGUAGGUGGCAAGCGUUGUCCGGAAUUAUUGGGCGUAAAGGGCUCGCAGGCGGUUUCUUAAGUCUGAUGUGAAAGCCCCCGGCUCAACCGGGGAGGGUCAUUGGAAACUGGGAAACUUGAGUGCAGAAGAGGAGAGUGGAAUUCCACGUGUAGCGGUGAAAUGCGUAGAGAUGUGGAGGAACACCAGUGGCGAAGGCGACUCUCUGGUCUGUAACUGACGCUGAGGAGCGAAAGCGUGGGGAGCGAACAGGAUUAGAUACCCUGGUAGUCCACGCCGUAAACGAUGAGUGCUAAGUGUUAGGGGGUUUCCGCCCCUUAGUGCUGCAGCUAACGCAUUAAGCACUCCGCCUGGGGAGUACGGUCGCAAGACUGAAACUCAAAGGAAUUGACGGGGGCCCGCACAAGCGGUGGAGCAUGUGGUUUAAUUCGAAGCAACGCGAAGAACCUUACCAGGUCUUGACAUCCUCUGACAACCCUAGAGAUAGGGCUUUCCCUUCGGGGACAGAGUGACAGGUGGUGCAUGGUUGUCGUCAGCUCGUGUCGUGAGAUGUUGGGUUAAGUCCCGCAACGAGCGCAACCCUUGAUCUUAGUUGCCAGCAUUCAGUUGGGCACUCUAAGGUGACUGCCGGUGACAAACCGGAGGAAGGUGGGGAUGACGUCAAAUCAUCAUGCCCCUUAUGACCUGGGCUACACACGUGCUACAAUGGACAGAACAAAGGGCUGCAAGACCGCAAGGUUUAGCCAAUCCCAUAAAUCUGUUCUCAGUUCGGAUCGCAGUCUGCAACUCGACUGCGUGAAGCUGGAAUCGCUAGUAAUCGCGGAUCAGCAUGCCGCGGUGAAUACGUUCCC